This 63-nucleotide transfer RNA is filed under the name Dermacentor rhinocerinus. Its description in RNAcentral is "tRNA-Ala". The record is from RNAcentral. Lineage: Eukaryota; Metazoa; Arthropoda; Arachnida; Ixodida; Ixodidae.
AGAAGAGUAUUUAAAUUAAAUAAAAUCUAAUUUGCAAUUAGAAAUUGAGUUGUUCCUUUUCUG